This 433-nucleotide ribosomal RNA is filed under the name uncultured bacterium. RNAcentral's name for it is "partial 16S ribosomal RNA". It matches the Rfam family "Bacterial small subunit ribosomal RNA", at positions 29 to 507 of the family's 1533-position model. The record is from RNAcentral.
AACGAACGCUGGCGGCAUGCCUAACACAUGCAAGUCGAACGAGACCUUCGGGUCUAGUGGCGCACGGGUGCGUAACGCGUGGGAACCUGCCCUUAGGUUCGGAAUAACUCCCCGAAAGGGGUGCUAAUACCGGAUAAUGUCUUCGGACCAAAGAUUUAUCGCCUUUGGAUGGGCCCGCGUUGGAUUAGCUAGUUGGUAGGGUAAAAGCCUACCAAGGCGGCGAUCCAUAGCUGGUCUGAGAGGAUGAUCAGCCACACUGGGACUGAGACACGGCCCAGACUCCGACGGGAGGCAGCAGUGGGGAAUAUUGGACAAUGGGCGAAAGCCUGAUCCAGCAAUGCCGCGUGAGUGAUGAAGGCCUUAGGGUUGUAAAGCUCUUUUACCCGGGAUGAUAAUGACAGUACCGGGAGAAUAAGCUCCGGCUAACUCCGUG